AUUGGGUAAGACGAUCGGCUGGAUCUUCGGAUCUCCCCGAUAUGAACCUUCCCGUGCUUUUUAGAACAUAGAUGGCACCAGUCAGGUGACUAUCGAAACGUAAUACGCCGCGAUGACUUCGGUCACGACGGUAUGGCGAGCUUUCGCCGUCCACGUUUCUCUUUCUUCAAAAGGAUAUCGAACCAUUGGUUUGCGCUCACGCACGUACCGCCCUUCGGGCUGUGCUCCGCGGGGGCGCCGGACGACCGGCGACGGCCUCUGGCCUGUAUGGGAGAGCCUUGAUAGGCUUGAAGUUCGGCGAGAUGGGCCCGUAGCUCAGUUGGUUAGAGCACACGCUUGAUAAGCGUGGGGUCGGAAGUUCAAGUCUUCCCGGGCCCACCAUUUGCAUUUGCGAAUGAUGUUUGCUGGUGCGAAUUGUGGUUUGUUUGGGUUUACUGAUCCUGGCGGUUUGCUGUCAGGUGUUUGCGAUGGUUGGGGCUGUAGCUCAGCUGGGAGAGCACCUGCUUUGCAAGCAGGGGGUCAGCGGUUCGAUCCCGCUCAGCUCCACCAAUUCGCUUGGUGUCGAGACUGAGAGAUAUCCUUUGAAGAAAUAAAAGUUUUGCAUCGGCUUAGGCUGGUGCGUGUUCUGCAUACAUUGUGAAGAGAAGAUUGAUCUGGAGGCUUCCAGGUGUUUUGGGUUUUGCCCAAGGCGUCCGAGCCCAGUUCCUGUGAAACCAUGGAUGGCCUAGCCGGCCGGAUGUGGUGGAGGGAUUGGAGGUAGGAGGGAAGCUUGUCGCUCUGGGUCGUUGUUGUUUGCUGUCUUUAGGGACGGCAUCUGACGGACGACUUGAUUACCGUUGCCUGACCGCGCGGUAUCGGAUCCAAUCUCGAGAAGCUGGUCUUAAGACAGGCUGCAAGCGAGCUGCUCGGCGUAGCUCCAAUAAAGCAGACCUGUCGAACACGUUAAUGGCAUUGUUAGAAAGCGUGAUUGUAAAAGGUAAUCACGCAUGUUUGGCCCGACUGCACGGCAAUCGCAAGGUUGUCCGGAUGGUCGGAUUUGGCACCCCGCGAGGCGAAAGCGAAGCGGACAAGGUCUGCCAAAUCAAACAAAGACGAUGAGCAUUGGCAAUGAGAACGAUUAAGUGUCGUAAGGGCAUUUGGUGGAUGCCUUGGCAUGCACAGGCGAUGAAGGACGUGAUACGCUGCGAAAAGCCGUGGGGAGCUGCGAAU
This 1209-nucleotide unclassified non-coding RNA is filed under the name Rhizobium sp. RNAcentral's name for it is "partial miscellaneous RNA". The stretch from base 305 to 378 matches the Rfam family "tRNA". The record is from RNAcentral. Lineage: Bacteria; Pseudomonadati; Pseudomonadota; Alphaproteobacteria; Hyphomicrobiales; Rhizobiaceae.